CAGAGUUGCAAAACUCCCAACCAUUGUGAACCUACCUCACCGUUGCUUCGGCGGGUGGCCAGGGGCAACCCAGGCCGCGCCGGCGCCCUCCUUCAGGGCCCGGCAAACCCGUCAGAAGACCGAAACUCUUCGUCAUCAGUGGCCUCUCUGAGUAACUUAUACAAUAAGUCA
RNAcentral lists this unclassified non-coding RNA (171 nucleotides) under uncultured Sordariomycetes. Its description in RNAcentral is "sequence contains ITS1". Lineage: Eukaryota; Fungi; Ascomycota; Sordariomycetes. The record is from RNAcentral.